This 406-nucleotide ribosomal RNA is filed under the name uncultured bacterium. RNAcentral's name for it is "partial 16S ribosomal RNA". It matches the Rfam family "Bacterial small subunit ribosomal RNA", at positions 30 to 526 of the family's 1533-position model. The record is from RNAcentral.
AUUGACCGCUGGCGGCAGGCCUAACACAUGCAAUUCUAACGAGUGGCGGACGGGUGCGUCAUGUCUGGGAAACUGCCCGAUUUAGGGGGAUAACUACUGGAAACGGUAGCUAAUACCUCAUAACAUCGGAUUUGCCCCGAUGGGAUUAGCUAGUAGGUGGGGUAAAGGCUCACCUCGGCGACGAUCCCUAGCUGGUCUGAGAGGAUGACCAGCCACACUGGAACUGAGACACGGUCCAGACUCCUACGGGAGGCAGCAGUGGGGAAUAUUGCACAAUGGGCGCAAGCCUGAUGCAGCAAUGCCGCGUGUAUGAAGAAGGCCUUCGGGUUGUAAAGUACUUUCAGCGAGGAGGCGUUACUCGCAGAAGAAGCACCGGCUAACUCCGUGCCAGCAGCCGCGGUAAUAC